GGGCUAGCGUUGUUCGGAAUCACUGGGCGUAAAGGGCGCGUAGGCGGCCGUUCAAGUCGGGGGUGAAAGCCUGUGGCUCAACCACAGAAUGGCCUUCGAUACUGGACGGCUCGAGACCGGAAGAGGUCAGUGGAACUGCGAGUGUAGAGGUGAAAUUCGUAGAUAUUCGCAAGAACACCAGUGGCGAAGGCGGCUGACUGGUCCGGUUCUGACGCUGAGGCGCGAAAGCGUGGGGAGCAAACAGG
Molecule: ribosomal RNA, 245 nt
Filed under: uncultured bacterium
Lineage: Bacteria
Description: partial 16S ribosomal RNA
Rfam family: Bacterial small subunit ribosomal RNA
Source: RNAcentral